ACUUUAAUACCUAGUUUUUAAGCAUUUUAAUCUGAUGAAUUUUACUGUUCUUCAACAACUGCCAACACAACUGAGUUUAGGUAUGUUUUAAAUGGGUUUGAUGUCAUAUUUCGUCAAUUCAUCUAUUUGAUCUUCGGUUUUCAAAUGUUUGGUUUUGAGCGUUCCUGAUGAAGGUAAAUCCACAAAAGCGCUUCGGACGCAAUAAAUUAUUAAACGUGUUGUUUUCCAUUUUUUGAAUCCUUCCCCUUGGCCAUACAAUUGAAUAUUUACCAAUGAAGACCCUGUAUUUUCCAACAACUUUUGAAGCCUCUUAUUUGCUUUUUGUUAACAUAUAUUUACAAAUUGUCGAAAAAAUCGGUUUGACAUUUCAUGAAUAACAAGUAAUCUUUCAAACUGUAUUUAUUUGAGUUAUGUAUGGUUGCACAUGUUCCAAUGAGUAAAACAAAAAAUUAUCUCAAUAUCAAAAUAAUGUCAGAUUAGGUGUUUACAACUGACCAGAUAUUCAUAACAUACUAACAUUGUACAUAUUUUCUGUUUCGUAUUGUCUUUUCAUACAUUUAAUUGUACAUUGCAUGUUAAAUGUAUUGAUA
This 590-nucleotide long non-coding RNA is filed under the name Mytilus galloprovincialis (Mediterranean mussel). Lineage: Eukaryota; Metazoa; Mollusca; Bivalvia; Mytilida; Mytilidae. The record is from RNAcentral.